CUCCAUGUGCUCAUUUCUAUAGGAUUGAGUCCAUAUAUGAAUCUUUGAUCUUUAGUAUCGUUCUAGUCCAAAUUGUUGAUUUUCUGCGAAGUUUAUUGUUUCCUGUAAUGCAAAUAGAAGACUAGUACCAUAUUUUUUAUAUAACAAUUAACUUUAUGCAUACUAAGACAAGAGGGGUUGCUCUGAUGGUAAGGAACCCCCACUUCCAACCGAGAGGUUGUGAGUUNNNNNNNNNNNNNNNNNNNNNNNNNNNNNNNNNNNNNNNNNNNNNNNNNNNNNNNNNNNNNNNNNNNNNNNNNNNNNNNNNNNNNNNNNNNNNNNNNNNNNNNNNNNNNNNNNNNNNNNNNNNNNNNNNNNNNNNNNNNNNNNNNNNNNNNNNNNNNNNNNNNNNNNNNNNNNNNNNNNNNNNNNNNNNNNNNNNNNNNNNNNNNNNNNNNNNNNNNNNNNNNNNNNNNNNNNNNNNNNNNNNNNNNNNNNNNNNNNNNNNNNNNNNNNNNNNNNNNNNNNNNNNNNNNNNNNNNNNNNNNNNNNNNNNNNNNCCUUAAUCAAAGAAGUUCGAGUCUCCCCAAGAGCAAGGUGGGAAGUUCUUGGAGGGAAGGAUGCCGGGGGUUUAUUUGGAAACAGCCUCUCCACCCAAGGGUAGGGGUAAGAUCUGCGUACACACUACCCUCCCAGACCCCACUAAGUGGGAUUAUACUGGGUUGUUGUUGUUGUAACUUUAUGCAUAGUACUUUAUCUUUAUCAAUGAGAGACGACGUAUUGCAUUUUUCUCAUUCCCUAACUUGGAAUUAAGGGAAUGUCCCUAUUGUGUGAUCGACAAGGUUUAGCAGAAUGAACUUAUAAAUAAAUAAAAAAUCCGAAGCUUAAUCAAAUUAAGUUUAUUAAAAUCUGAAGUACUGACGUCCUUCAUUAAUUAGUACUGCGCUCAUCCUGAACUAUUAUUACUAGGAAUUAUUAAAAGUGGAUGAAUGCAGGCUCCAAGAAAAUAUGGACAAAUAGUUCCUAUUAAGUCGUGCUAGCCACAAGAAACCUUAGUCAAGUUUUAUUUUUGCCUUUAAAGUUGUCAAAUAUUCCCAAAAUAAGUGAUUUUUUAGGUAUUUUUACACAUUAAGAAAUUCACAUUUUAGUAUUAAUUAGUAAUGGAAUUGACCAUAUUAACCUUUACUAUCUCACAUAAGCACUCCUAACAUAUAUUCCAACAUUAUUUACUCCAUAGACAAUGUCGGGAAAAAAUAAUUAAUUCAUUCUUGAAAUUUCGAAAAAUCACUUAUUUUGAACUAAAAAAAAGGUCAAAAAAUCACUUAUUUUGGACCGGAGGGAGUAAAGCAUAGUAUCUAUCAAACAUUCAACAAAAGCAGCCAAAAAUAAUGAAGGAUGCAAUGCCAGGAAAAUUCUUAGCGCAUUCCCUCGUGUGUGUAAUAUCAUAAUAUUCAUGAACCAAGACUAAGUUGGUGUUGUUCGUAAUGGAAACAAUCGAUCUUUUGGUUGAUAGUCCAAAGUUCAAAAUUCAAAGAGAUAGUCAAGGCAAACUUCAGACAUUUUCGUAAAUUUUUUGCAUUGCCAGGCCAGGCCAAACUUCAGACACAAAAUUUUGAAGUUUGAAACUGUCGGACUAAACUUCAAACAAAAAAGUCUGAGGUCCUUGAUGGGGAUCUCUUCGUAUUCUUAGCUGACAUGGUAGUAUUUCCAACUGAAAAUUGCGGCUGCUAGAGGUUCAGCUAACACCCAAUCUUUCAUUUAUACUAAUAGUAACAAUAUUUGAGUAUUGAAUGCCCUUUUUAUAAUGCUAUGUGAGAAACACUCUAACCUCAUAGAUCCCAAAUUUAUUUUGAAAAUUUUAAUUUGUAUGGAAUUUAGUUUGAAGAUGAAAAUGUGUUUAGAUAUACGUUUUCAAAACACAUUUUCUAACUUUAUUUUGGAAAAGCAUGCUAAAACUUCUCAAGUUUUGAGAUUUUGGCCCAAAUUCAGCUCAAUAGCUGUUUUUGGGAUUAGAAAUUUGUGGUUUGAAAAAUGGCCAAAAUAUAGGCGAAAUUUAUGACCAAACACAAGUUUUGAAAAUAAAUUUCAAAUUUAUUUUGAGAAAAUGUAUGGCCAAACAGGGCUUAAAUAUUAUUUAAAUUUACUUGCUCAGAAAGUGUGCAAGUGUGUUUUUGUGCGUCUAUGCAUAUAUAUGUGGUGACAGCUACAGUUAUAGGGUCAUUUGAGAUGGUACAAGUCGAAAUAGAAGUGAAAAGGGGAAAUUAAACUACAAGAUAAAGUUCUAAUAAUCUCAAGGAAAUUCCAAAAUACAGGCACUUGUGUUUGGACAAUGAAUUCGAUAUUCAGCUUGCUCAGACCCCUGAACCAUUCUUCUAAUUUUAGUAUUGAUAUUGAUAUGAAUCCAAACAACUUCCAACUUGUAUUUCAUGAAAGUUCUGUAAGUUAUGAGAGACGGAUAUGGCAGGACGCAUAUGGCACAAGGUAGGACACCAACCUUACUCAAAGAGAGUACGACAUGGUUAUCAAGUGCAUCAAAUACAAUAAUAGCGCAGUUGCACGUGCACUUCUGCACGAGCCUUAGCUUAGAUAAUACUGUGACAAAAAGCGGGGCUGUUUCACUCCCUCGACGGGUUCCCAAUUCCUCGAGGGUAAAAGGUCUAGCUAUAGGUGGUUUCGAUACAGACCCAAACAAUAUUUUUGAACUAGGGCAAUUAUGAACAUCAAAAUUAAGCAGAGCUAAAUGAACAGGAUAUAUGGCAAGCACCACCUGCUUCUUUGUUUUUGCAGAAUCAAGUAGUAUUUUACAAAGAACUUUCUUAGGUAUUUUAUGACCAAGAAGUCCAUUGUUCAACUUCAAAACUCAAAGAUAAACAAACCCAUCUACCCUCAUCCAUUUAUAUAAGUACCAGACACGAUGCAACAGCCAUAUCAUGAGAUGUUAAAUUAGAAGUUUACUUACUCAAUGAUCUUUAAACACUCGUAAGGAUUGUGGACUAUAAAUUCCAGGGGACAGCAUCAAUGGCACAAAACUAACCUCUCCCGAAUUAAGCCACUAUGCAGCACCCAAAGUGCUUUCAGUACCGUAGAUAUUGUUAGAAAAUCAGACACUGACUUAGCCAAUACAAACGAAAUAUCAAUUCCGAAAUCAGGCACUAAUGAGCCAAACUUCAGUUAGUAAGCCUUGAAAACACAUGAAUGAUGUAACAACCACUUCAAAUGCAAGACAUAGAAGGCAAUCAAUGCUAAACGACAAAAUAAUCACCCGGGAAUAUCGCACUCUGGCAGUAAAAUUGUAGAGAGAAGCUAACAUAAACACUUCCAAUACUACCAAAGCAUAGGCUAACAUUCAUGUUUGACCCAAUGGAAAUAAUCUAAGUUCCAACCUUCCCUAAAACAACAAUAUCAUACAACCCUGCAACUCCAAGUUAACUCCAUCACAUUCAUGGCACUGAACUCUAUUUCCAUCAUUGCCAAUAAGUGCACCAUGGGAACACCAAACGAGCUAACAUCUGGAGGAGCAUAGAUCAUCUUCCUUUUCUGGUAAUAUUAUGGUUUAUUUUCCUAGCUAUCCUUGAAUUUCUAUAAUCCACAAUUGAAAAAGGUCCAGGAGCUUAGUUGCCUACCAUCCAAACUACACUUCGCAGGUCACAAAUUUCAUUUAGUUAUCGGUCUCAGGUCGAACUUGAUCUGGACUUCACUGAAAGUUCAGGUCAAAAUUAAAAAAAUUUCUCUGUUUUGCAUCUUUUUCAAUAGGUAACUGCAUCUGAUAAUGAUCCCAACGAAUCCGCCAGUCCACUAAUCAUAGCACUUCAAACAAGACAAUCUUCCCUAAGUAGAUACCUUAAAUAUCUUUAAUUGAAAUCUUCAAAUUAUAUAAACACAAACAAAUACCAUAUAUAAUUAUUUCAUUUUGAUAACGAUCUAUAAUUCUAUUCAAACAUUUCUUGUUUCAGUUUUAUAAUAUAUAUGUGUAUGCAGAAUAUUCAAAACAAAUAGCUAGCAGGCCAAGAGCCAAUACUCCACAUCAACACACUCAAAAUCAGAUAUAAAAAUCAACGACGUAAAUAAAAUAGAGCAAAAAAUCAACACGAAUAAUAAGUAGCACAAUUUUAUAACAAAAAAAAAACGGAUAUGAGAAUCUCAAUUCAGUGCCAUUAGGACAAAAACACUACUCAAAUGUCGCUGAAAUUUUAAACUGGAACUUAAAGCAUAAACCUAAAGAUGGGGCUCGGUUCGAUUAGGGCAAAAUACGGUUUUACUUGGAUCGCUGCCUCAUCUUUCGGCGCUUCCUCUUCAAUCUCCUCAUACGCUUCUUCUUCCACUGAAAACGAAAACAAAAAAUAAUUAACAACAUUGAGGAUUAAAAAUUUACUGAAAAUUGAAAAUGAUAUGCCACAGAAUUCAUAUACCUUAGCUCUCAUUCUGAAUUGGUGAUGAUCGAAGAGUUCUUUUUACUUAUCAGAGCGAAUCUAUAAAUGGAAGAAGAAAUGCGGCAGUGAUGGGAGGAACUGAAGUUAGGGCUUUGGACAGUUUAUAUAGGAAAGCCUAGAGUUUUGUGAUUGGUGGAUUAUGACAGAUGGGCCGAAGGUAAUUUGACUUGGGUCCAGUUAUCAGGCCCAAAUUAGAAUUUUUAUUGUGGUUUUGAAUAAGUCCAAAUCUCCGGCCCAAAGAACUUAAAUGAUUAUCUUUAUAUAUAUAUUUACACUAUAUUAAAAGCACGAAGACCCUUAACGAAAUAUCGUUCGCUUUUUUUACCCCUUCAAAAUAAACUUUACCCUAGCUAAAAUAGUCAUUUUAAAUUGUUUUCCUAAUAAAUAGGAGUUUGAAAUUAACUAGAUUUUUAAUUAUUAAAUCUUUCCUUAUUUGAAUUAUGUAAAAUAUUAUAACAUUAAAUUUAAUUGUGCAUUUCACAACAUUCGGCAAUAUUUUAGUUGUCCUACACACACACCUACUCUUUUCUGCUUCUUUUUUUUUUUUUUUUUUUUUUUUUUUUUUCCUUCUAUAUCCUUAGGAAUUAGAAUAUUCUAUUAAUUAAAUAAUAUUAUAUUUGUUAAAUUUGUUAACAAUCAAUUUUACAAACAAUUUUAACUUUUUCAACUAAAUCAGGGCACCAACUGAAAUUCUAAACUUUUCGUACAGAGAAAGCACCAACUCAUCAACAUAAAUAGAAUAUUCUAUUAAAUAUAUAAUUUUAUAUUUGAUAAAUUUGUUAACAAUCAAUUUUACAAACAAUUUUAACUUUUCCAACUGAAUCAGGGCACCAACUGAAAUUCUAACUUCUCGUACAGAGAAAGCCCCAACUCAUCAACAUAAAUAAUUGAAGGCUUUUGACAUAAGAGAGAUUUGUGAGAAGAAUACUAAUCAACCUAUCUAGAGAAGAUGGUGAAAAAAUAACUAUUUAAAAAAGAUAAAAUAAGAAAUUUAGUCACUAUUUCCGUAAUUACUAUUAUACAAAGUAAGAAGAUUAUAAUAAUUAGUUGAUAGUCUAAAUGUCCAUGAAUAUUUAAAAGAUCAUUUUACUCUUCAAUUGAAUAUUUCUACAAUAUUUUUGUAUUACAAAAAUAAUUUUACAUUCCAAUAAAUAGUACUAUUAGAUAUAAUCAUAGAGUAAAUAACUGAUCCUACAAUUUUUAUGCCAAUAUUUAAAAGGGAACAUAGUACUAUUAGAUAUAAUCAUAGAGUAAAUAACUUAUCCUACAACUUUUAUGAUAAUAUAUAAAAGGGAACAUUAAAAAAAGUGCAUAAAUAAAUAUCAUUUUGAUUAAUAAAUAUGAAAGCAAUAACGAUAAUAUAUUGAGGUAACAUGGAGGCAUGGAUUUAGAUUUUAAAGAGCAAUUAGGACGUUCUUUUUUCUUUGAACAUGCUCAAAUACUUUGUCCACUUUUAUUGUUUAAAUAUUGAAAAAUAAUAUAAUUAUAGUCUUUUUUAAAUGUAAAAUCAAUUAUAAACAAUAAAAGAUUGAUUAAUAUUUCGUACAAAGGAAAAAGAAUAUGAAUUUAACGCAUAUAUGUAAUUGUCUCGAGUAAAAGAAGUACUUCAGAAUGAAUUCAUGAAUAGUAUAAAAUAAUAAUCGAACUAAUACUUUACAAAAACUAUUAAUAAUAAUUGAGUUUGGAUGUCUAUAUGAUUACAAACGUAUGGAUAGAAUAGAGUGGAUCAAACUCCUAAUGAUUAAUAUCUAUCACUUUAAAACAUGCAAAUUUUUAUUAAUUUUUAUAUUAUAAUGUUAAUACAUUUUUUGAAUUUUUGUAUAUUAUAUUUAAAAAUUUAUUUUUAUUGUUAAUUUUAUAUUAUAAUAUUAAUACAUCUUUUGAAUUUUUGUACAUUAUAUUUAAAAUUUUAUUUUUAUUAACACGAAGAACACGCGCAACGCGCGUACGGUAAGACUACUAUAUAUAUAUGUUACGAGCUUAAUUUAGAGUGUGUGGGUAGAGAGGGAGCAUUAUAAACCGUAUCCGAAAUUGAUUAAUGAUUGCCUUGUACCAGAUAAAAGGAGAAGAGCAAGAAAAGCAAUUGUAUCUAUGAAUAUUUGUAUUACUGUAUACAGCAUUAGAAGAAAAAAGAAAAGGAAAUGAAGGAGAAAAAAGGGAGUUGAAGUUAUUUAAAAAGUGAGUAUAAGUUAAAAAAAUUUAAAAAAAUAGGUAUAGGUUAGGGCGUCCAGUACAAUUUUUACGCUCAUAUUCACUUAAUACUUUUUUUAGUUGACAUACAUAAAUUAUAUUAGUAAAUGAUGGCACAUGCUAAGCAUGGACCCAAACACUAUACUGGAUAUUGAGAAUUUUUUCUAAAUUCUUAUAUAAAUAGUCGAUUGAAUUCACAAUUUACUUUUUAGUUGAUAUAAAUAGAUUAUACAUCGAUUAUAUAUAUAUNNNNNNNNNNNNNNNNNNNNNNNNNNNNNNNNNNNNNNNNNNNNNNNNNNNNNNNNNNNNNNNNNNNNNNNNNNNNNNNNNNNNNNNNNNNNNNNNNNNNNNNNNNNNNNNNNNNNNNNNNNNNNNNNNNNNNNNNNNNNNNNNNNNNNUAUAUAUAUAUAUCAGUUAUUUUUAGUUUAAUCUAUUGGGUGGGCCAUUAGAAUCAAAUUUUGAUAAUUUAAAUAGCAAAAAAUUAGAGAGUAAUCAUGAAAUACUAAAAAUUUCAAUGUUAUACAAAAUCAUAAAAAUAAUAUUGAAUAGUUGAAAAGGUGCACGGCUCAUCCUUAUUUAUUUUUAUUUAUAUGGUACUUUAAACUUUCAGUUUAAUUUUGUUCUUUCUGUUAUAAUUUUAUUCUUUUCUGUUUAAGUAUAUUUACAAGCUCUAAUGCAUGAUUAUAAUAGUAGAAUUAAACCAUCCAGUGUACCUUAGAAUUAUGGAAUAUAAUUCUCUUUUAUUUAGUUUGUAAAUGCACAAUAAAAAUUUCUUUCUUUUAAUGUAGUUAGUAUUUAGAAUGUAAUUUUUGGAAUUUUCUUGAACUCUAACAUGACAGCUAGCAUAUGCAUGAUAAUUUUCUUUUUAAUUAAAGAUCAAUUAUUAGAUAACCCACUAUUAGUAAUAACAGAUAUUUAGCAUGAAAGAAUAAAUAUUAUAUGCUACAAUUAUUGUGGUAUUAUGAAAUAAACUAUGUUAUUUUGAAAUAAAAAUAAAAUGAGUUUUUGCUUUUGGAUUAUUACGGUUAAUCGUAACUUUACAUUGAAUUGUUAAAGUUAUGUUAAACAAUGAAAAUCAGCUUGCAACUUUGAGUUCCUUUAAAAAAUUGAGUCUUCUCCAUUUUAAUAUGCAUAGAUAGAUUUAGUCUUUAGUUUUUAUGUAGAUUGAUUUGAUAGAUUUAGUCUUUAGUUUUUAUGUAGAUUGAUUUUUUUUUGGUCAAAGGAAAAAUUUGUAUUCAACCAAUGUCAAUGUACAUCAAUUGUUCUUUUGGGACUAUAGAACAACUCUCAAAAAUUAUUCAAUUAUCUACUCUACAACUAUUGUUGUUUAACUACAAACCUAAUGUGAAUCUAGUCUGGAUGUCUCGCAAUUAUCUACUCUACAACUAUUGUUGUUUAACUACAAACCUAAUGUGAAUCUAGUCAGGAUUACAUUGGGUAGUAGUUCAUGUUUUGUAGGAUGUUCUGCCGCUUUGGCUUCUUCAUUCCACUGAUAUGCACUUGGAUAGCAAUCUGUCGUGCUCUAUCUGCCGCAUCUUUGCUCGACUGUCGAAAUCUUCUUUCGUUCCUCUAUAUCCAAAUGUUGUAUACGAUUGCUGCAAGCACCAUUCCUAGAAUGGAUUUCCUUGGAUGCCUAUUGUUAACUCUGGCCGAGACCCACUGAACCUCUAGUUCCCACCUGGUGAUUACUCUUUUAAAUCUCAGCCACUGUAGCAAACCUUGCCACAGUCUUUGUGAGUAAGGACAAUUAAAGAAGAGGUGAUCAUGUGUCUCUACAAGGUCUCUCACGCACAGUGUACAUGCUUGAUCAGUGUGAAUACCCCACCUUUCUAAUCUAUCAAUUGUUGCCAAUCGUUUGUGUAACGCCAAUCAUAAAAUGAAUUUCUGUUUAGGCAGCACCCCAGAUACCAUUACUAAAUUCUUCCAGUUGACUUUGGCAUAUUGUGGAGUAGAGUGUAAGUAUGCCUUCAUGAUGUUGUAACUCCCAUUGCGGCAGCAUGAAUGCAGUGAUAUGUUUUCAUUAUUCCACCAAUCCCUUGCUCCAAAAAUCUUUCUCACCAGUCAGCUUGCUUGUUUUGGUACUUCUAUGGUAUCAAUGUCUUUUUUCUUUAUAUAGUGGCAGUGAAUCCAUUUUAUCCAGAGUUUAUCUUUCUUGAACAUUAGAGCCCAUAACAGCUUAGAUAAGGCUGCUUUGUUCCACCGUUCAUAGCAGAUAAUGUUUAAUCCUCCAACUGCCUCUGGUUUGCAAACUGUUUCCCAUGCAAUUGGAGCUCUAUGACUUGUCUCAUGAGUUCAUGUCUACAAGUAGUUUCUGCAUAUUCCUUCCACUAGUUUGAUGACCUUUUUUGGAAUGAGAAAUACCUAUGCCCAGUAAGUCUUUGUCCACAAGUAGUUUCUGCAUAUUCCUUCCACUAGUUUGAUGACCUUUUUUAGAAGGAGAAAUACCUGUGCCCGGUAAGUCUGCAUUUCAAAGAGGAUACUUUUUAUCAGCUGAAUUCUACCAGCAUAGGAUAAGAUCUUAGCAGACCAGCAUCUGACUCUGUCUACUAUUUUUUUGACUAAAGGUAAGCGCUGUGUGAUUGUAGUCCUCUUUGUUGAUAAGGGAACCCCCAAAUAUUUGAAAGGGAAUGUCCCCUCUGUCAAUUGAAAUUGAGACAGUAGCUUCUCUUUGGCUUCAUUUGAGACACCUGCUAUGUAUAUGGAGCUUUUCUCCAAGUUAGCUUGUAGUCCAGACAUUUGAGAGAAGGUAUCAAAUUCUUUAAGCAGAAGCUUCAUUGAGGUUUCAUCCCCUCUACAACACAGUAACAAAUCAUCUGCAAAGCAUAUGUAACUGAUUUGUAGUUUGGAACACUUGGGGUGGAAGUUGAAAUAUGGAUUCCUGUGAAGCUUUUUCAGGGAUUUGUUAAGGUAUUCAAUUACUAAGACAAACAGGUAGGGAGACAUUGGGUCUCCCUGCCUUAAUCCCUUUCUUGCUGCAAAUUACCUGGUGAGUCCUCCAUUGAUUAGCAGUGAGUAUCUUGCUGUGGAUACUCACUCCAUGAUUAGAGUGACCAUUUUGAAGGGAACGCCAAACUCUAGUAGCACUGCCCUCAGAAAUCCCCAUUCCACAGAGUCAUAGGCCUAUGACCAUUUUGAAGGGAACACCAAAUUCUAGCAGUAGUGCCCUUAGAACCCAUUCCACAGAGUCAUAGGCCUUCCUGAUAUCCACUUUGAUCAUGCAUCUUGGGGAGACUGUCUUCUGGGUGUAGGCUUUUAUCAGUUCAUGAGCCAUAAUAACAUUGUCUAAGAUAUUUCUCCCCUCAAUGAAUGUUGUCGAUGCCUUCAGUUCAUGAGCCAUAAUAACAUUGUCUAAGAUAUUUCUCCCCUCAAUGAAUGCGGACUGUGUCUGCCCCACCAAACAGUCCACAACCAGUUUGAGUCUGCUAGUAAGGAGCUUUGCAAUGACUUUGUAUAAUGUUGAGCAAUAAGCAAUGGGCCUGAAGUCCUUGACAUAGUUUGGAUGCUUGACUUUUGGAAUCAAUGUGACAGUUGUACAACUAAUCACUUUCAGAAUUUUUUCAGUUUGAAAGAAUUGUUGUACUGCCUCUAUGACCUCCUCCCCUACAAUUGGCCAGAAUGUCUAAAAGAAUUCAGCAGGGUAUCCAUCAAGUCCUGGAGCCUUAUCAUUGGGAAGGUGCUGCACUAUUUGGAUGAUUUCUUUCCUUGUUACUGGGGUUAACAUUUGCUGUUGCUGGUCCAGUGAGAGACAGGGUCCAUCCAUUGCCACAUUCAUGUCUAUUCCUAGAAGUUGCUCAGCUGCUGUGCCUAGUAGCUGGUGGAAGAAGUGAAUGAAUUCAUGUUGGAUCUGCUGUGGGUCAGUAAUCCCCCUCUGAUUGUCAUUGAGGAUGUUGCUUACCCCGUUUCUUGCUUGUCUGGAUUUCAUGUAUGCAUGGAAGUAUUUUGUGUUGCUGUCUCCCAGUUGAAUCUAGUUUGCUUUAGACUUCUGUCUCAGUAUUUGUUCUUGAAUAGUUUCCUACUUUUCAAUGUUCUCUAUGAGUUUCUUUUCUUCUGCAAUCAAUGUGUUAUUGAAGUGGUCUUCAUUCAACUUUCCUUGGAUUACCUUAAGAUCUUCUCUCAUCUGUAGCAACUUCUUGUGUACAGAUGAGUGCUCCUGGUGAAUGAUUCUAGUCUCCUGCUCAAGUCUCUUCAGUUUACUCCAGACAUAAUACAUAGUGUAGCCUUUAACUUGUUGGCUCCAGAUUCUGUGAACUGCUUCUUUGUACUGGUUUGGUUGCAUAACUGUUGUCAGUACCUAUAAGGUUUAGUCACUUUAGCUUUGAUUAUCUCAGUAUCUAUCAAAAUAGGGGUGUUAUCUGAACAUCCAUGAAGCAUGUAUACUGCUUCCACCCCUGUGUAAGAUUUGAACCAUUCAGCAUUGCCAAAAGCCCAGUCUAUGUGGCAAUAGACUCUGGUUUCAGCAUCUCUUUUGUUGUUCCAUGAGAAUUUCUGCCCUCUUUUGGUAAUCUGUCCCACUCCAAUGUCAUCAAUACAGCUCUGAAACUCAGCUGUCUCUGAGAGGUGUACUUGAUGAUCAUUUAUCCUACCAUCCACUCCUAGCAGGUUGUUGAAGUCCCCCAGUAUAAGCCAGGGGCCACUAGGUUGGAUAUUCCUCAAGGCCCUCCAUAGUGGCAUUCUGUGUUGAGUUGUAUGUAAGCCAUGACAAAGGUAAUAUAACUAGCAAACUUUAAGUUGCUAUAUGUCACCCGUCAGUGCAUCAGUUGAGCAGUGCUUUCCAUAAUUACUACCUGUACAUUGGCUUUUUUCCACAUUAUCCAAAUCCUUCCAUUAGGGGCAUGAGCAUAGUUGCUUUCUAUUGUCCACUCAACCCCUAUCUUUUUAUAGAUUGCCAUUGAAUUAUGCUGUUUCACUCUAGUCUCUAGGCAAGCUAGUAAAUCUCAACCCCUAUCUUUUUAUAGAUUGCCAUUGAGUUAUGUUGUUUCACUCUAGUUUCUAGGCAAGCUAGUAAGUCUACUUUAUUAGUCCUUAGGAACUUGAUUAAUUCUCUUUGUUUGUAGGACUUGUUCAGUCCUCUGAUAUUCCAGGAUACAAUAAUCAUGAUGAGUUAGUGGAAGUAGUGCCUCCUGGAUCAGUCAGACCUGGUUCUAGGCUACAUUCUCCCCUCUGUUGAUUCCCAUCAGACACUUCCUGUAUAGUUAGAGCUUCAAAUGUGUUCCUCCUGGCUAAUUCAGCAUAGCUUGUUACUUUAUCUGGUUCUCUGUCUGCUGGAUUUUGAAUAAUGGCUAUCUGCUUACCUUUGUUAGUUAUUUGAAUGUCUACUGCAGUUUGCUCUGUUGGUUGUUCAGUUUGUUGCUCAUCCAAAUUCUCCUUGGUUACAUCUUUAGGUUGCCAUUGCAUUCUAGUUUUCCUCUUUCUCCUCUUUUUCAGCUUCCAAAUUAAAAUAUUGUGGUAUGUUUGCUUUGAAUGUUGUAUUCCAAAUUAGAUAUUGUGAUAUGUUUGAUUAUGAAUAUUGUAUUCUUUAUUAUAAUAUUAUGGUAUGUUGGUAUGAAUGUUAUAUUCUUUAUGGAGUUGCAUUCGAGGCAAAAAUUUGGUUUCUAUUCAUAUUCCACAUUUUGAAGCCAGUUCUUUCCAUCUGGUAUCCCAAUGUGGACAUGUUCAGGCAGAGGCUGAGUAGUAUCAACUUCCAUAAGGACUCUAGCAUAAGAUAUUCUUUCACAGCAGUAAGUUUAUCAGUGCAUAUAGGCUUACCAAUUAGGCUAGCAACUCUGCCUAAAUUCUCUUCGGCCCAGCAUUGGAUAGGAAGCCCAGGGAAGCUGGCCCAGAUUGGGACGAUUCUCAUUGACUCAUUUUGAAUCUGAAAAUCAGGAUCCCAUUCUUUUAGAAUCAUAGGCCUACCAUUGAAGGUGUAGGGCCCUUGCUGCAGUAUGGAGUUCUUAUCCUCCUUAGAAUCAAAUUUGAAUAUAAAGUAUCCAUCAUCGCAUAGUAGCACUGUGGGUGUGGUAACUUUGUUCCAGACACCAUAGACAUAUUUUAACAUCUCUUUGAAAGUCAUCAUCCUGUAGCAGUACUGUGGGUGUGGUAAAUUUAUUCCAGACACCAUAGACAUAUUUCAACAUCUCUUUGAAUGACGGGUUGCCUCCUAAGACAUAGCCGAUUAAAGCAUUUCUCCAUUUCUGGUUCUAAUUCUCGAUCUCCUUAGGGUUCAAUUUUGCAAUUUUCACUCCGUCCUUCAGCAUCGGAGAAUAAAAUUUCAGUUGCAUGCCCUGGUGCUGAUCCUGAUUACCUUUAACUACAUCAGCCAUUGUUUGUUUCGGGGUUUCAGUUGGGUAUGUGAGUUUCCUAGCCAUUGCUGUCACAGUUGCAUCAUCCUUCGCCGGCGGUGCCUGUAUGACUGUAGGAGCACUCCCCAUAUCGGGAAACCAGUGUAAUAGGGGAAUCGGGGUUAGCUGUUGCGGUUUAUCACUUUCUGGGGUUAUCAUCCUCUCCAUAUUUACAUUGGGAAUUUUGGUAAGGUCGAUUUGUUAGGUUGUAGCGGGUUGCCGGCGGCAGGCAUCGACUUGCUUGCCGGUCGCCAGAGUUUCUCUCUCCUCUAUCUAAAAAUCCGUCCGAAGAGUAUUUAGCUCUUAUACUUUAAAUUUAACCAGACAUUCUUGUCAAAGAUAAUCAAUGUAUGUAGAUUGAUUUUAGUUGUUCCUAUGAUUCAACUGUGUAUAUUAGUAUUAUAUAAUUUAUUAGAAAAGUUGUCUCUUGCUUUAUUAUUUAAAGUAAAGGCAUAUAUAAAGUGAUUGCAUGUCCAAUCUUAAAAUAAAAAUAAAAAAGUUUGAAUUCUUGAGUAGAGUGUCUUUUCAAAUCAUGUUAUUUUAAUAUUAAUAAAUUGGCGUGUCAUUUUGUAGGUGCCCUCAUUUAUUUAGCAUAAAGAAUGAGAUGUGUACAAAAAGUCAUGGGUUAGUAAGAGAAACUCCUCCUUCUCUCUACUAAAUAUUCCACCUCAUAUACAAACCAUCCCCAACAUGGAACCAACCUCCACCAACUCCACAUCGGAACCACCAGACCUAAGCAACAUGCAUAUAGAAUCCCCACCACGUACCUCCUACGAUACCAAAUCAUCUUUCAAAGAAACACUCCCUAACCAACAACAUAUACUCAAACCACCCAGCAAUACUAUCCAACCAACAACACCUUUGGAUUUAUCCGAUGAAACAGUAAAUGAUCUCUACCACGAAUGUUUAUGCCACUCACAUCCACUAACAAAUCUUGCCUUUACUCACCCUGAAAAUCCUCAGUCAUUGUCAAGCUGUUUGGACAUCAAAUUGGACACUAAACGCUGGAAAAAAAACUCGCUGCUUUAUGGCAACCUACUGAAGACGUAUCUCCCAUAGAUCUAGGUUGUGAUUUCUUCCUAAUUAAAUUCCACCAAGAAGAAAACAUGAAUAAGGCCUUACAUGGUGGACCUUGGUUCAUCUUCAGCCAUUUUUUAUCCCUUCGUAAAUGGGAACCUAACUUCAUAGCUUCCAAUACACAACUCACCUACUCCACCAUUUGGAUUCACCUACCAGAACUGCCAACUGAAUUUUAUGAUUUUGAAAUCUUACAUCGAGUUUGGUCAAAGAUUGGAACGUUACUAAAAAUAGAUACAUGCACAUCAGUGACAACUAAAGGUUGCUAUGCACAUACAUAUAUUAAAGUUUCACUUGAACGGCCAGUGAAACCUCAUGUGUUCAUCGGAAAUCACCGGCAGUAAAUAUUAUAUGAAUGACUUUCAAUUCUAUGUACACUUUGUGCAAAACUAGAUCACAACAAAAACCUCUAUACUUACCCACAUAAUCCUACAACUCAGUCACCUACAUAAGCCACUCCCCAUAUUGCAGCCCAGGAAAGUAAUGCACAAGAAAAGACUACAAAACACACAACCACAACUUCAACUUCACAUACACCCACUACCAACGAAUGGCAAAUUGUUUCAUUCCCAGUUCGAGGAAAAAACACCAACUCAUCUAGAGGUAAAGGAGUACAUCCAACCCACCAAUACAACAAAACCUUCAAGCUCGUACAGUCAAGCCAACAGGGCCACAACAACCAAUUUGCAUGGGCCCAUCACAUGUAAGUUUUCUAACGAAUCAAUUCCCUCCUCUAUCACCCAUACUCAGAACAAUGACAUAAAUACCCCUUCAAAUUUUUUUACACAAGAUAUACUAGCUCUCAUUAAUGCAAAUAUAGAGAAAAACUCAGUACUUCCUAUGAAGGACCCUCCCACCAAUAGCACCGGCCCAAUGUUACUCCACCUUUCUCAUGCAUGCACAUGCAACACCAUAUCACCCAAACCUAGUUCGACCCCGGCAAGUAACUCCCAAUGGACUAGAAGAAAUAGAACAACUGGAUGUGGCAGCGACAAUGGCAGAUAUCAAGGAAACAAGUCCAAUUAUGUGCUUCCUCAACAACAACAAGAACUACGACCUAAAAGAACACUAUGCAAGAAAAGUGAUUAUCAUGUGCCCCAAGGAGCUUCAAAGUUGCUCACUCAACCUAUGCCCUAUGAACAACCCCGAGGUAGGAAAACACGGUCUAGUUUUGAUACCCUCACUGAGGUAGAGAUGGAUAUCGAUCGGUUCAGUUCGGUUGUGAAUAUUAUCGACUUUGCAUAUCGAUAAUCAGUUUACAAAUAUGAUAAACCGAUAACCAGACUGAUUAGAUAUGGCUUAUCGGUUAUUGACCAUUAUCGGUUCGGUAAUCGAUUUCCCGAUAAGAUAACUCAAUCUAGAGUUAUGCAAAAAAAAAAAUUCACUGGAGUAAAGCAAAAAAAGAGAAGAACUCUCAUAUAGUAUUCUACCCAUUUCUGCGUUCUGGCCACAACUAAUAUUUGAAGCAUGUGCAAUCUCAAAAAUUGAUACUACAUCUCCACAAGCAUUUCAUCUCCAAUUCACUGGAAAUAGAAGUUAACAGGAACAUAAAUAAUAAUUUUUUGGUUUCUUGGCAAACCAUAAUUAAUGAUAGGCUAUAAUUACGUAUAUUAGUCGAUUAUUACACUCUAAUUUACUGCACUUUAGUUGAGUUUGCAUUUUUAUCGCUAGUGUUUUGCACUAAUUGUGUAUUUUAUGCCUUAUAGGUGUGAUUCCUAGUUAUAUAGAAUGGAAAGCAAAGGUAUUGGACACUUUACUCUCUAGUGUUUUGCGCUAACGAUGUGUUUUAUGCCUUGCAAGAGAGAUUCUGAGCUAUAUAGAUUAUAUAGAAUGAAAUUAAGUAUUUUGGAGGUUUUAAAUUUGAGUAAUAGCUCAAGGAAUUAAGUCGAGAUCGUGUUCGGGGGUCAAAUUUGAUAGUUGAGAACAAACAAAGACUCGAUAAGGCAUAUUGUGUACUGUCUAGUAAAAUACACAUAAUGUUUUCCUCCGAAUUCCAUUUUGGCUCCGCAAUAUAUGGUUGAAAAGCUAACUCAAAUAUCUACAACUUUCAUGUUUUACAUUUUUUCACAUUCUAAAUGGAACAGGGUGAGAAAUGGCAGUUUCACCGCGACUGCGGCAGAACCGCGGUAGAAGAUGGUCGCGGACAACAGAAGAAUCAGAGGACAUGUUUGGCCGCGGUUCCACUGCGACCGCGGUACAACUGCGGCAGUAGGCGGAAAUUUCAGGGACUUAUGUGCAAAACAUGGGAUUUUAUGCCCUAAAUCCUAUAUUAAACCAAGGAAGCCGGCCAAGAAAGGAGGGGGAGGGACAUAUUUUUGACAUAGAUUUGACCUAAGGAGGGAGAGACACAAUAUGAGCAAAGCUUGGGAAUUUUUCUACAAGUUUUUUCUUUCCUCUUCCUAUUUUUCAUUGUUGGUUAUGACUUUUAGCAUUGUAGUUUUACAUACUAUUAUGAAUAGCUAAUUUAUUAUCUGGAGUUUUGAUGGAACCUUUUGUAGGAUAAAUUCUUAUUAUGUUUUUAUAUAAUUGAGCCGUAGUAUAAUCUCUAUUUGUUCAACUACAUUUUUGUUGUAGUUAAUUGAAUAGCUCUCAAUUAGUUGUGCCUAUUUAGUAUGACUUGGGAGAGAAUGCAUAUUUAGGUAAUUGUUGAACAAUACCACUCCCAAAGUAUAUGAGAGAUCAAUAACCGAGGGUUUAAAGGCGAGAUUAGAGAUAACGAAGCCUUCUAUAAAGUGAGUUGUAUUAAAAUCCAGCUAGCUUCACUCGGAAGAGUGCGUCUAGUAAAUUUUCGUAAUUACUCGGGAGAGAUUUUCGGUAAUAAGAGUGCUCAUGAUCGGUAGAGAAUACUUAGACGAAAUUGUAGAAGACAUAGCUGGAUUCCGACAAUCGGAGAAAUCAUAACUCUAGACCUCCUUAAUCUUGUCUCUAACCCUUAGUAUAUUUAGUUGUUAAUUUAUUAUUUUAAUUUGUUAAUUAGUUAGUUAAACGCAAGAAUCUCCAUAUCUAUAAGUUAGGAACUAUUUAAGCUUGUCUUCUUGGUGAUGGUGAACAUUUGUAGCUAAGCAUUAGUUCUCUGUGGGAUUCGACUCCGGACUUGUAAAUCGGAUCAUAUUUGCAACGACCACAUUGUCCUUUUUAUAAGUCAUAGUUGUGUGUGACCAAUAAUCAAGAGAUCAAUGUCUUUCUUCAGAGUCUAAUUGUAACAAGAGUAUUAGUAAUUCAACAUUUGUACAAACACAACUGAAAUAAUACUAAUUCUUAUUGGGUUAUUGGGUUAUCGGUUUACCCGUUAAGAAAUUGACAAAUCGAGGCCCGAACCGAUAACCCAGUAGUAAAAAAAUAUUAAACUGUUACCAAACCAUUUACCAAUAACCCUAUAUCGAAACUCCAAUAAGAUUUUUCGGUUUGGCAUAUUGGUUAUACCCUAUAUGCCCAGCCUUACACUGAGGGGAAAAACCACGACCCUAGUGGAGUCCUAGUAGAUUCCACCACCCUUCAACUCCCACAGUAAUCAAAUGCAGUUCAUAAUUAGGAAUUGUAUAGGAGCUCAGUCCCAUAUUUUAAGCGAAAUUUUCGAUCGUUACUAAACUACCAUCAACCUACUUUAGUGGCACUACUGGAGACCCAUGUCUAAAAUCAUUCUCACUUGAAGGAAGAAUUUGGUUUUACCAACUUAGCAGAAGUGCCAACUCAAGGACAAUCUGGAGGUAUAGCACUGAUAUGGCAAGAUGACAUUCUUAAACUAGAAUAAAUCGAAGUGAACACAAAAGCAAUGUAUUCCAUUGUCCAUGUACCACCUAACCCUAAACAAUGGUUAUUUUCAAUUAUCUAUGCCAAAAAUGAUAGACAUGCACACAACGUUUAUGGGAUCAUUAACAAUAUUGCAUGAUAAUAUUAAUACGCCUUGGUUGAUUGGGGGGAUUUUAAUAAAGUUACAAGAGCCAACAAAAAGUAUGGAAGAAAUCCCAUUAAUAAUUCAAGAUGUGAUAAUGUCAUUCGAUGCGUAGAUUAUUGUAAUUUAUAGACUUAGGUUUUAGAGGAAGUAGAUAUACCUGGACUAAUAAACAUGGUCUAGCUAAUAGAAUUCUUGAAUGCCUAGAUAGAUUUGUUGGCAACUAUGAAUGACUCAUAUUAUUUCCUGAAGCUAACGUACAACACCUUCCUAUAACACAUUCAGAUCACUGCCCUCUACUACUUAAUUUAAAGCAUAAAUAUAGUCGUAAAAAAAUAUUCCGUUUUGAAAUAAUUUUGACAUAUCACCCUUCAUUCUCUACACUUCUUACGAAUAAUUGGACUUACAAUAAAUAUCUCUUAACUGCUAUAGAAUAUUUUACUGAAGAGGUUCAACAGUGGAACCAACACACUUUUGGGGGCCUUUUUAAAAAACAAAUAACUAUCCUAGCACUACUGAGUGGGGUACAAUCUUCUCUUUCGUACCAUACCAGCCAUUUCCUUCACCAACUAGAACAAGACCUAAUAACUGAGUUUAAUCACUUAUUAAGAUUAAAGGAGGAUUUUUGGCGACUAAAAUCAAGGAUAAAUUGGCUACAACAGGAGAUGUCAAUACUAAGUUUUUUCACUUGAUUACCCUUAAACUGAGGAGAAGGAAUAGAAUCACUGCUCUCAAAGACUUAGGUGGAAAUUGGGUUAUGGAGAAAUCGUUAGUUGACUCCUUAAUUAAUUACUACAACUCACUAUUCCCUACCACGCACAUACAAUCCGCUAUUAAACUAUCAAACCACAAUAGUAACACUCUUACAAAUACUGACCAAUUAUAUUUGUCGAGACCUUUAUCCAUAAAAGAAAUGUAUCAAACCAUCCAUUCCUUCAAACCUCUCAAAACACCAGGCCCAUAUGGAUUACAUCCUUAUUUUUACUAAAAAUAUUGGCCUCAAAUCUCUCCAUCUGUCGUGUCCUUUUGUAAUGAGGUCUUUAAUUCAGAUAAAUUACUAAUUCAUGUGAAUCCCACAUACCUUUGUCUAAUUCCAAAAUUCAAAAACCCUUCCAUGAUUACGCAAUAUUCCCAAUUGGGCUAUGCAACACUAUCUACAAAAUUAUAAACAAGCCAAUUGUAUGGCGCAUAAAGCCUGUUAUUAAUAAACAAUAAUACUGAACAAUCUACUUUCCCCAAAGGGCGAAGAGCAACUGAUAACGCCAUCAUAGUUCAAGAAAUCCUUCAAAAUUUUAGGAAAAAUAAAGGGAAAAUCGCAAAUUUUCUUAUCAAACUAUACCUUGAAAAAGCCUUUGAUAAAAUGGAAUGGGGUUUUAUCAAACAAACUUUAUAUUUCUUUAAUUUCCCCCCUAAACUCAUCUCUAUAUAUGAUCAGAUGCAUAUGUAGUUAAGGGCUGCUUAGAGUUGGACACAGAAUUCCUAAUUCAAAUUGCAAUGUACAAUGAUUCGGGAAAUAAGAUUUUCCUUUUCUUAAAACAGAAAAAAAAACAUCCCCCUCUUUCUUAUUAUUAUAUCUUGUAUAACAACCACUUCUAUCUCAAUCCUUAUAAAUGGACACCCAUCCCUUUUUUCUACCCAACAAUGGGCAUUAGGCAAGGUGACCCGUUAUCCCCCUGCAUCUUCAUCUUAUGUAUAUAACGACUAUCAAGGCAAAUACACCAAUUAGUGGAUUACCAACAAUGAAAAGCUAUCAAACUAUCUCAUAACGGGCCCCUAAUAUCUCAUCUACUUUUUGCAGAUGAUAUCACCUUAACUUCUAAAAUAAAAACAUCAUCUGUGCACAUCAUCAUAGAUACCAUCUAACAAUUUUCACUCAUAAAUCUGGCCAAAGUAUUAAUUUCCAAAAAUCAAAAAUUUAUUUUUCUAAACACACUUCUCAAUCAGACAAACACUUUGUCUUAUCAUCUUUUAACAUGAGGGAGGGUACCCUCUUUAGUAAGAACUUGGGAUUUCCGUUGUUUGUAAAGAAACCUACUUCAAAUGACUUUUAGUACAUACUUGAUAACUUCAAAGCUAAAUUAUCAGGAUGGAAAUCAUAAAUUCCUUUCCACGGCAGGAAGGUCCACCAUACUAAAAUCUACUUUGAACACAGUACCAAACCAUGUAAUACAAUACAUUAAAAUACCUUCACAAAUCAUUCAGAGAGUGGACCACUACCAAAGAAACAUCCUCCGGGGCACUACUGAGCAUAAAAAAAAGAAUUCACUUGGUAAAAUAGGCAGUACUACAUAGACCUAAAACUCAAGAGGGACUAGGCAUUCAAAACUUAACUACUAAAAAUAACGUUCUAUUAGGGAAUCUUGCUUGGCGCCUGUUUAAAAAUCCUAAUUCACUCUGGGCAUUCAUACUACUCAACAAUUAUGCGCAUAAAAAAAUAGAGCUCGGGCUUCCUCCACCUGAAAAAAUAUUUUAUCAGGAUAGAAUCUAUGCCAAUUAGGAUUAGUAUGGCAUAUAGCAUGGGCACACAUAUAAAUAUGUGAUAUGACCAUGGAUAGGACCUAAUACUACUCUUAGACAAUUAAUCCAUGGACCACAAAACUCUCACGAAACAAACCGAACACUUAAGACACUAUAUCUCUAAUAAUGCAAUUGCACAACCUCCUUAUUCUUUAAAUUAACGGACAACAUUAUUUCUCAAAUAAAAAUAUCUUCAUACCUAGGUUAACAACCCCAUGCCUUCAAUACAACUAUUUGAGGCCUCACUCCAAAUGGUCAGUAAACUGUAAAAUCUCUAUACAAUGCCCUACAAGAACCAACAUCACCCUACAAUUACCGCUGGAUAUGGAAACCAAUUCUACCGCCAAAAAUAAAUCGCUUUCUUUGGUUAGCACCACAUCAAUGCUUAACAACCGCCUCGUACCUAUAUCAUAUAACGGUUACUCUAUCCAAUACUUGUACUCUAUGAUAUCAAUCCAUUGAAACCAUUAAUCAUCUCCUAUUCAAUUACCCGUGCACAAACACCAUAUGGUCUCAACUAAGGAUUGCCCAUAUCCUCCAAAAUUGCAACACGCACAUCUUACCACCAAUUCAAAUCAUCCAAUACCUAAUUAAAGAUACUAAAGAUAUGCCUUAUAACCUGCCAUCAACCGCUUUUAUUCCACGCAUAGUUUGGCAAAUUUGGAAGUUAAGAAACCACUAUAUAUUCAAUCGCCAAAGAACUAAACCACUCCCCUCGACCCAACAAAUGCUCUAUCCAGACAACGAAAUAUUAUUACCUUACCAAUCAUAACAAAAAAAACACAAACAUCUACACAUACAGGUACUCCAAUGUAUAUCAAAUGGCACCCCCAGCUGUGGGCACAAUUAAGCUUAACAUUGAUGGAGCAACCAAGGCAAACACUUCUACCAAUUGUAUUGGGGGAAUAUUCCGUAAUACAGCGGGACAUUGUUUAAUGGGGUUCAUGGGUGCAGCUUCCAUAGGAAAUUCCACAUGCAUGGAAUUAAAAACCUUACUAUGCAGCUUCCAACUGGCAAGGCAACAUCAACUCACACCACUAGAAGUAAAUAUGGAUUCUAUUGAGGUAAUAAUGAUGCUCAAUAAUGAUAAUCUUCACCACUCAUCAUCCUAAUGCAAUGCAUGUACUUACUUCAGCAGCUGGGUAAUCCUACCAUUACCACAUAUACAGGGAGCAAAACUAUGUAGCACAUUAUCUCGCUCAACAACGUUCGUCUAACCAUGCCAAGGAUUGCACAACUAUCUUCACUCACCCACCGAAUUUUUUGUUACCAAAACUACUAGCUGAUCAACAAGGCACUGCCUACCCGCGCUUAGUCAAAUCCACCAGUACGAUGGACUUGUUCUACAGCCACCCCAUGUUGGCACAUGAUCAACUAGUUGGUCACCAUUUUGAUAACUCCUUUUGUAAUACUGUGCAACUAGCUCAAUGUUACUAUUUAAAUUAAUAUAAGUUCCUUUUGACGACAAAAAAUGGCUGAGAUGUUUAGUGUUCUUUAUUUUUAUCAUACAAAUUAUCUCAUAUUUGUUGAAGUAGGUGGCAUGCAGCAUUAGAGAAUGGGCAAUAUAUCGAAAAUAUUUGCAUGCAUUUUGAGAAAGAAAAUAUGUGCCUCGAGAAGAUUGAAGAGAUAAUUUCAAGGUCUCUGUAAGCAACCCCCACUUCCAACCGAGAGGUUGUGAGUUCAAGUCUCCCCA
This 22095-nucleotide long non-coding RNA is filed under the name Nicotiana benthamiana. Its description in RNAcentral is "long non-coding RNA (NBEN_LNC027055)". Lineage: Eukaryota; Viridiplantae; Streptophyta; Magnoliopsida; Solanales; Solanaceae. The record is from RNAcentral.